Small nuclear RNA from Protopterus annectens (West African lungfish), 102 nucleotides. NCBI's taxonomy places the organism in Eukaryota, Metazoa, Chordata, Ceratodontiformes, Protopteridae. The record is from RefSeq and is a predicted model, not a curated record.
GGAUAAUUGUCAGCACAUUUACUAAAUCUGGAAUGAUACAGAGAACAUUAACAUGACCCCUGCACAGUGAUGACAUGCAAAUAUGAAACGUUCCAUAUUUUA